UGAGGAAUAUUGCGCAAUGGGGGCAACCCUGACGCAGCAACGCCGCGUGAGUGAGGAAGGUUUUCGGACCGUAAAGCUCUGUCGAGCGGGAAGAAAUGCAUGGUGGCUAAUAUCCAUCAUGCUUGACGGUACCGCUAAAGGAAGCACCGGCUAACUCCGUGCCAGCAGCCGCGGUAAUACGGGGGGUGCAAGCGUUGUUCGGAAUUAUUGGGCGGAAAGAGCGUGUAGGCGGCUGAAUAAGUCAGAUGUGAAAUCCCUGGGCUUAACCCAGGACGUGCAUUUGAAACUAUUCAGCUGAGUAGGGGAGAGGAAAGUGUAAGUCCUGGUGUAGAGGGGAAAUUCGUAGAGAUCAGGAGGAACACCGGUGGCGAAGGCGACUUUCUGGCCCUAUACUGACGCUGAGACGCGAGAGCGUGGGUAGCAAACA
This 427-nucleotide ribosomal RNA is filed under the name uncultured prokaryote. RNAcentral's name for it is "bacterial SSU rRNA". It matches the Rfam family "Bacterial small subunit ribosomal RNA", at positions 355 to 774 of the family's 1533-position model. The record is from RNAcentral.